Small nuclear RNA from Sapajus apella (tufted capuchin), 107 nucleotides. The record is from RefSeq and is a predicted model, not a curated record. NCBI's taxonomy places the organism in Eukaryota, Metazoa, Chordata, Mammalia, Primates, Cebidae.
GUGCUUGCUUUGGCAGCACAUACACUAAAAUCAGAAUAAUACAGAGAAGAUUAGCAUGGCCUCUGCAUAAGGAUGACAUGCAAAUUCAUGAAGCAUUCCGUUUUUAA